CAGACUGCAUGCAUUGCCUCCUGCCUCCGCAGAGCCAAGGGAGUGACAUUGCACAAGUCCUCCUGCCCGAUGCACCUCCUCGCUAAAGCAGUCACCUCACAGAACUGUGUGCGCAUGAAAUGAGGAAGGCUCAUGCUAAGACCAAGAUGGGCCAGUGACUGUAUCCCCAGCAGGGAGCCAAGUACCUGCAGCCCUGGGCCCCAGCAGCACUCAGCAAUGGAAAAACAUCCUCAGGCUUCAGCUGUGUUUCAGCUCCAGGCCCAGAGAAGCAGCAAAAUCAGACAGAGGGACGCCAUGGCUGACGUCAGGAUGAGCUGUAGUGCCUAAUGACCCCCUGACCUAGCACCGACCAGUCAAGAGGAGACCAUGACCCUGAAAGGACACACCUGGAAAGCUGAUGAAAAUUCCACUGGGAUCCUCCCCUGAGAACUCCAGAUAAACACACCUAGGAUGGAGGAGCCAGCUCCAUCUCUGGAGCACACCCUAACCUUUCCUUCCUCUUUCAUUUCUCUCUCUCUCUCUCUCUCUCUCUCUCUCUCUCUCUCUCUCUCCUAUAACUUGUUUCCUGAGCCCAUUUCCCCCCCCUAUGGCUCUCUUCUUCUACUCCUGAGACUUCCUAAAUAAACUCACUCUUAUAAUUCGAGUCUUGGCUCUGAAUUCUUUCUUAGCCAGAGAGAGCUCCAGAACUGAGGUUGAUGAACUGAGGUCUAAGACCUAUUGCCAUUUUUCUCUGUUAACAAAA
Molecule: long non-coding RNA, 742 nt
Organism: Myotis myotis
Lineage: Eukaryota; Metazoa; Chordata; Mammalia; Chiroptera; Vespertilionidae
Exons: 4
Source: RefSeq, a predicted model, not a curated record